CGAUGACACGACGUAAAAACCUUACCCUUACCCUUGACAUGUCUGGAACCUUGCUGAGAGGCGAGGGUGCCCGUUCGGGAGCCAGAACACAGGUGCUGCAUGGCUGUCGUCAGCUCGUGUCGUGAGAUUGUUGGGUUUAAGUCCCGCAACGAGCGCAACCCUUGUCAUUAGUUGCCAUCAUUUAGUUGGGCACUCUAAUGAGACUGCCGGUGACAAACCGGAGGAAGGUGGGGAUGACGUCAAGUCCUCAUGGCCCUUAUGGGUAGGGCUUCACACGUCAUACAAUGGUCGGUACAGAGGGUUGCCAAGCCGCGAGGUGGAGCCAAUCCCUUAAAGCCGAUCGUAGUCCGGAUCGUAGUCUGCAACUCGACUACGUGAAGUCGGAAUCGCUAGUAAUCGCAGAUCAGCAUGCUGCGGUGAAUACGUUCCCGGGUCUU
Molecule: ribosomal RNA, 437 nt
Filed under: uncultured Thauera sp.
Lineage: Bacteria; Pseudomonadati; Pseudomonadota; Betaproteobacteria; Rhodocyclales; Zoogloeaceae
Description: bacterial SSU rRNA
Rfam family: Bacterial small subunit ribosomal RNA
Source: RNAcentral